Pteronotus mesoamericanus is the source of this 106-nucleotide small nuclear RNA. The record is from RefSeq and is a predicted model, not a curated record. Lineage: Eukaryota; Metazoa; Chordata; Mammalia; Chiroptera; Mormoopidae.
GUGCUCACUUCAGUAGCACGUAUACUAAAAUUGGAAUGAUACGGGGAAGAUUAGCAUGACCCUGUACAAGGAUGACACAUAAGUUCGUAAAGCAUUCCAUGUUUAA